CUACGGGGUGCUCCAGUGAGGAAUAUUGCACAAUGGGGGGAACCCUGAUGCAGCAACGCCGCGUGGAGGAUGACGCAUUUCGGUGUGUAAACUCCUUUUAUAUGUCAAGAAAAUGACGGUAGCAUAUGAAUAAGCACCGGCUAACUCCGUGCCAGCAGCCGCGGUGAAUACGGAGGGUGCAAGCGUUACUCGGAAUCACUGGGCGUAAAGGACGCGUAGGCGGGUUGGAAAGUCAGGUGUGAAAUCCUACAGCUUAACUGUAGAACUGCACUUGAAACUUCUAAUCUAGAGUAUGGGAGGGGGAGAUGGAAUUAGUGGUGUAGGGGUAAAAUCCGUAGAUAUCACUAGGAAUACCUAAAGCGAAGGCGAUCUCCUGGGACAUUACUGACGCUAAGGCGUGAAAGCGUGGGGAGCAAACAGGAUUAGAUACCCGGGUAGUC
RNAcentral lists this ribosomal RNA (440 nucleotides) under uncultured bacterium. RNAcentral's name for it is "partial 16S ribosomal RNA". It matches the Rfam family "Bacterial small subunit ribosomal RNA", at positions 339 to 795 of the family's 1533-position model. The record is from RNAcentral.